This 497-nucleotide ribosomal RNA is filed under the name uncultured bacterium. Its description in RNAcentral is "partial 16S ribosomal RNA". It matches the Rfam family "Bacterial small subunit ribosomal RNA", at positions 28 to 507 of the family's 1533-position model. The record is from RNAcentral.
GAUGAACGCUGGCGGCGUGCCUAAUACAUGCAAGUCGAGCGAACAGACGAGGAGCUUGCUCCUCUGACGUUAGCGGCGGACGGGUGAGUAACACGUGGAUAACCUACCUAUAAGACUGGGAUAACUUCGGGAAACCGGAGCUAAUACCGGAUAAUAUAUUGAACCGCAUGGUUCAAUAGUGAAAGACGGUUUUGCUGUCACUUAUAGAUGGAUCCGCGCCGCAUUAGCUAGUUGGUAAGGUAACGGCUUACCAAGGCAACGAUGCGUAGCCGACCUGAGAGGGUGAGCGGCCACACUGGAACAGAACCCGGGUCCAGCCUCCGACGGGAGGCAGCAGUAGGGAAUCUUCCGCAAUGGGCGAAGGCCGGCGGGAGCAACGCCGCGUGAGUGAAAAAGGUCUUCGUAUCUAAAAACUCUUUUAUUGGGAAAAAAAAAAUGUGUAAGUAUCUAUGCACGUCUUGAGGGUACCUAAGAAAAAGCCCACGGCUAAGUCCGGG